This 23-nucleotide non-coding RNA is filed under the name Arabidopsis thaliana (thale cress). Lineage: Eukaryota; Viridiplantae; Streptophyta; Magnoliopsida; Brassicales; Brassicaceae. The record is from RNAcentral.
CCAAGGUCUAUUACGCUUCAUGC